UCGGUGGCGGCUUUUACGUUUGGAUGAGACGGACGCACGUUUUUGGAUUUAAUGUGGGCGAUACCGCCUCUUGUGAUAAUAGGGAUAUAUCUUGUAAUAGGGGUAUUAAUAUAAAUAGGUCUGUGUUAUGAAGAUAAUUGUAGUAAAUGUCAAAUUGUGUAAUUCUUCAUUUUAUGUUUAAUGUAUUUUAUUCCCCUCCUUUAUGUGUAUGAUUUAAUGUAUUUCAUUUCCCUCUUUUAUGUGUAAUAAUAUUAGAAAGUGUAGGUUAUGAUUUCAUGAGCCUAUAAAUAGAGCUCUCAUUUGUAGCAUUCCACACACCCUCAUUUGUAACAUUCGAUACACCUCAAUAAGAAAGUACUUCUCCUCCCGUGUUCUUGUUCUCUUCUUUGUUCUUAGUUCAAUAACACGUUAUCAGC
Molecule: long non-coding RNA, 416 nt
Filed under: Linum usitatissimum (flax)
Lineage: Eukaryota; Viridiplantae; Streptophyta; Magnoliopsida; Malpighiales; Linaceae
Description: long non-coding RNA (LUSI_LNC006948)
Source: RNAcentral